GUUGGCCUUACAGCAAACCUUUGAAGAUUACCCCUUGUCAACUG
RNAcentral lists this non-coding RNA (44 nucleotides) under Dictyostelium discoideum AX4. The record is from Rfam by way of RNAcentral. Lineage: Eukaryota; Evosea; Eumycetozoa; Dictyosteliales; Dictyosteliaceae.